GACGAACGCUGGCGGCGUGCUUAACACAUGCAAGUCGAACGGAAAGGCCCUGCUUUUGUGGGGUGCUCGAGUGGCGAACGGGUGAGUAACACGUGAGUAACCUGCCCUUGACUUUGGGAUAACUUCAGGAAACUGGGGCUAAUACCGGAUAGGAGCUCCUGCUGCAUGGUGGGGGUUGGAAAGUUUCGGCGGUUGGGGAUGGACUCGCGGCUUAUCAGCUUGUUGGUGGGGUAGUGGCUUACCAAGGUUUUGACGGGUAGCCGGCCUGAGAGGGUGACCGGCCACAUUGGGACGGAGAUACGGCCCAGACUCCUACGGGGGGCAGCAGUGGGGAAUAUUGCACAAUGGGCGGAAGCCUGAUGCGGCAACGCCGCGUGCGGGGUGACGGCCUUCGGGUUGUAAACCGCUUUCGCCUGUGACGAAGCGUGAGUGACGGUAAUGGGUAAAGAAGCACCGGCUAACUACGUG
RNAcentral lists this ribosomal RNA (468 nucleotides) under uncultured bacterium. Its description in RNAcentral is "partial 16S ribosomal RNA". It matches the Rfam family "Bacterial small subunit ribosomal RNA", at positions 28 to 507 of the family's 1533-position model. The record is from RNAcentral.